This 322-nucleotide ribosomal RNA is filed under the name uncultured Flectomonas. Its description in RNAcentral is "SSU rRNA". The stretch from base 113 to 322 matches the Rfam family "Eukaryotic small subunit ribosomal RNA", at positions 745 to 955 of the family's 1831-position model. The record is from RNAcentral. Lineage: Eukaryota; Cercozoa; Glissomonadida.
GAUUUCUGGCCUGAAACAUUUCGUCGGCCACGGUUUCGUGUGUUAGUGCAUUAUGUUCUGGCCAUCCUUCCAAUCGCUAUUUACCUUUCUUCAUUGAUUGGUAAGUGGUAUUGGAUCUUUUACUUUGAAAAAAUUAGAGUGUUUCAAGCAGGCUUUAUGCUAUGAAUACAUUAGCAUGGAAUAAUAAUUUAGGAUUUCGGUUCUAUUUUGUUGGUUUCUAGGACUGAAGUAAUGAUUGAUAGGGAUAGUUGGGGGUGCUAGUAUUCAGCGGCCAGAGGUGAAAUUCUCGGAUUCGCUGAAGACUAACUUAUGCGAAAGCAUU